GGGGAUGAUCGGUUUCGACAUUGCCUGCAAAACUGCGAGAAGCGGGUCGAGGACGCAGGGUUAUCUCGUUAACGAUCCUUGCAAAACAAUAGGUGCCAAUUCCAAGCGCGCCGACUUCGCUCUCGCUGCCUAAGCCAGAGUAGAUAGUCCGUCAGUCCGUGAGUGUGUUCCCGCUCCGGAGCCUGGCGUCAUCUAGGGGACUUGCUGCGUCGUUACGCCAGAGGGCGACGCGGGACUCGAACUCGGGCUGGGCUCGUCGAUCCAAUCGCCGAUGGAAAAGGUCGGAGCCGAGCAGAACGCUUAUAUCGGCUACACCCGUAGAAGGCGCAGAAUUACAGCGAUGGACGGGGGUUCAAUUCCCCCCAUCUCCACCA
Molecule: transfer-messenger RNA, 374 nt
Filed under: Microbacteriaceae
Lineage: Bacteria; Bacillati; Actinomycetota; Actinomycetes; Micrococcales
Also listed under: 1 other name
Description: Rathayibacter sp013205085 Standard tmRNA
Rfam family: transfer-messenger RNA
About the family: Bacterial tmRNA, also known as 10Sa RNA or SsrA, is named for its dual tRNA and mRNA-like properties.
Source: RNAcentral